CGUGUAGGUGGUCCGUUAAGUCGCUGGUGAAAGCCCCUGGCUCAACUGGGGGAGGUCUGGCGAAACUGGCGGACUCGAGGGUCCGAGAGGAAGGUGGAAUUCCCGGUGUAGCGGUGGAAUGCGUAGAGAUCGGGAGGAACACCAGUGGCGAAGGCGGCCUUCUGGCGGGCACCUGACACUGAGACGCGAAAGCGUGGGUAGCAAACGGGAUUAGAUACCCCGGUAGUCCACGCCCUAAACGAUGCAGGCUAGGUGUUGGUGGGAUUUCCCAUCCGUGCCGUAGCGAACGCGUUAAGCCUGCCGCCUGGGGACUACGAGCGCAAGCUUAAA
This 330-nucleotide ribosomal RNA is filed under the name uncultured bacterium. Its description in RNAcentral is "bacterial SSU rRNA". It matches the Rfam family "Bacterial small subunit ribosomal RNA", at positions 568 to 898 of the family's 1533-position model. The record is from RNAcentral.